Molecule: long non-coding RNA, 978 nt
Organism: Monodelphis domestica (gray short-tailed opossum)
Lineage: Eukaryota; Metazoa; Chordata; Mammalia; Didelphimorphia; Didelphidae
Source: RefSeq, a predicted model, not a curated record
GCACCCAAGGCGCCCCGGAAGGAUAGAGGAGAGACACAUGGGGAAACACAGAACGCUAGCAAAGGGUUCCAAACCUACAGGGCACUCCCUAUUCAUAUUACCAUGUUAACCCCGCCCUCUUUCCCCUCCUCCAUCCUUCGCCUUUCCUGUGUCCAAUGGAAAGGGAAGGGGGCGGAGGUAGCCUCGUUCUGAUUAUGCACCGUCUAUAUAAGGAGCUGCCCUAAAGCUUUUUCGCUCUUUUCGUCUGGACUGCUUUGCGUAUGUCGUCUUGUGCUUUCCCUGUUUUGCAGGAAGAAUGGCAACAGCUCCAGCUGAUUUUUCAGGGCUGUCUUACCGGAACAAUCAGAUCCAAAUGAAAGCAUUAGAGCAUCUGGAUCAAUAUUCUUCUGCUUGUAGCUGUUUAAAUACUUGAAUGGUCAGAACAAGCUUUAAUUGAAUAAUGUGAUGAUCUCUGCAAGAUCUUGUUAACAGACCCAUUGGGCUUCAGUUUCAGUGACAUUGAACAUGCAAGAUUGAGAAGCUCUUGGUUACCAUGUGUCAAGGAUGUUUUGUGGAAUCUUUCCAUCUGGCGUAGAGACAAAUGUGUGGAUGAUCGCUGGAAAAGAACUAAGAAAUGAAGCUUUUUAAUGUCAUUGCAAGUGCUAAGACCUAAAAUUUGGGGGCAAAUAGACAGAAACUUUGAAUUGUAUGUGGAAUUACUGAUAUUUUCUCAUAAAUUUGUUUUAUUGUUUUCAAAAUAAUUUAUAAACUUGCCUUAAUUUUGUGAUUUUUAAUGUAAUUGUUAUUAAGUGAUCUUUUCCAUUUCAAAGCAAUUAUACAUUUGGGACAUUUUAAGUUAAAUAUUGACUUGCAUAUUUGAAAAUGUCUAAUCUGUCCUAAAAAGUAGUGCUUUGCUUUUUAGAAUGAUGCAGAUGUUUUGUGUUUUAAGACCCAUUUAUGGGUGAGGCAGAUUUUUUAUUAAAGUUGUAUUGACUGUCA